Small nuclear RNA from Sorex araneus (European shrew), 106 nucleotides. Lineage: Eukaryota; Metazoa; Chordata; Mammalia; Eulipotyphla; Soricidae. The record is from Ensembl.
AUGCUCGCUUUGGCAGCACAUAUACUAAAAUCAGCGGAUACAGAGAAGAUUAGCAAGGCCCAUACACCAGGACGACAGGCGAACUUGUGAAUGUGCCCGAUUUAUU